GACAGAGGGUGCAAACGUUGCUCGGAAUUACUGGGCGUAAAGCGCGUGUAGGCGGAUUCGCAAGUCAGAUGUGAAAUCCCCGGGCUCAACCUGGGAACUGCAUUUGAAACUGCGAGUCUUGAGUGCCGGAGAGGGUAGUGGAAUUCCUGGUGUAGAGGUGAAAUUCGUAGAUAUCAGGAGGAACACCGGUGGCGAAGGCGGCUACCUGGACGGUUACUGACGCUGAGACGCGAAAGCGUGGGGAGCAAACAGG
This 253-nucleotide ribosomal RNA is filed under the name uncultured bacterium. RNAcentral describes it as "partial 16S ribosomal RNA". It matches the Rfam family "Bacterial small subunit ribosomal RNA", at positions 524 to 776 of the family's 1533-position model. RNAcentral also lists the same sequence under 1 other name. The record is from RNAcentral.